Molecule: ribosomal RNA, 497 nt
Filed under: uncultured bacterium
Lineage: Bacteria
Description: partial 16S ribosomal RNA
Rfam family: Bacterial small subunit ribosomal RNA
Source: RNAcentral
GAUGAACGCUGGCGGCGUGCCUAAUACAUGCAAGUCGAGCGAACGGACGAGAAGCUUGCUUCUCUGAUGUUAGCGGCGGACGGGUGAGUAACACGUGGAUAACCUACCUAUAAGACUGGGAUAACUUCGGGAAACCGGAGCUAAUACCGGAUAAUAUUUUGAACCGCAUGGUUCAAAAGUGGAAGACGGUCUUGCUGUCACUUAUAGAUGGAUCCGCGCUGCAUUAGCUAGUUGGUAAGGUAACGGCUUACCAAGGCAACGAUGCAUAGCCGACCUGAGAGGGUGAUCGGCCACACUGGAACUGAGACACGGUCCAGACUCCUACGGGAGGCAGCAGUAGGAAAUCUUCCGCAAUGGGCGAAAGCCUGACGGAGCAACGCCGCGUGAGUGAUGAAGGUCUUCGGAUCGUAAAACUCUGUUAUUAGGGAAGAACAUAUGUGUAAGUAACUGUGCACAUCUUGACGGUACCUAAUCAGAAAGCCACGGCUAACUACGUG